This 866-nucleotide ribosomal RNA is filed under the name uncultured bacterium. RNAcentral describes it as "bacterial SSU rRNA". It matches the Rfam family "Bacterial small subunit ribosomal RNA", at positions 632 to 1501 of the family's 1533-position model. The record is from RNAcentral.
AUGGGCAGGCUAGAGACUGGAAGAGGCAAGUGGAAUUGCUGGUGUAGGGGUUAAAUCCGUUAAUAUCAGCAGGAACACCAAAUGUGAAGACAACUUGCUAGGACAGAUCUGACGCUGAACUGCGAAAGCGUGGGGAGCGAAUGGGAUUAGAUACCCCAGUAGUCCACGCCCUAAACGAUGGAUGCUAAGCAUUGGAAGUAUCGACCCUUUCAGUGCUGUUCACCUAAGAUAACUCGUUAAGCAUCCCGCCUGGGGAGUACGGUCGCAAGACUAAAACUCAAAGGAAUAGACGGGGACCCGCACAAGCGGUGGAGCAUGUGGUUUAAUUCGACGGUAAGCGAGGAACCUUACCAAGGCUUGACAUGUCUGGAAAUUUGCCGAAAGGCAGACGUGCCCGCAAGGGAACCAGAACACAGGUGCUGCAUGGUUGUCAUCAGCUCGUGUCGUGAGAUGUUGGGUUAAGUCCUUUAACGAGCGCAACCCCUACUCUAUAUUGAAUAUUUAUAGAGGACUGCCUAGGUUUAACUAGGAGGAAGGUGGGGAUGACGUCAAAUCAGCAUGGCUCUUACGCCUUGGGCAACACACGUGCUACAAUGGGAAGUACAAAGGGUCGCAAAAUCGCAAGAUGAAGCUAAUCCCACCAAAACUUCCCCCAGUUCGGAUUGAGGUCUGCAACUCGACCUCAUGAAGUCGGAAUCGCUAGUAAUCGCGGAUCAGCAUGUCGCGGUGAAUACGUUCCCGGGCCUUGUACACACCGCCCGUCACACCAUGGGAGUGGGUUUUACCAGAAGUAGUUAGCCUAACCGUAAGGAGGGCGAUUACCACGGUAGUAUUCAUGACUGGGGUGAAGUCGUAACAAGGUAACC